This is a non-coding RNA of Mus caroli (Ryukyu mouse), 396 nucleotides long. NCBI's taxonomy places the organism in Eukaryota, Metazoa, Chordata, Mammalia, Rodentia, Muridae. The record is from the annotation of a RefSeq genome assembly.
ACAGCACAAGGCAUGCUGUGGGCUCUAGCCCUACUUCUAGCUUUCUUGCCUGCUGGCAGACAAACAUCCUCCAACUUGGAAGAAAGAAUAACGUCAGUCACCAAGCUAGAGGGGUCCUCUGCUAUAAUGACUUGUGAUAUUCACGGAACAGGCACUUACAUCCACUGGUACCGAUUCCAGAAAGGGAGGGCCCCAGAGCACCUUCUCUACUAUAACUUUGUCAGUUCCACAACUGUGGUGGAUUCCAGAUUCAAUUCGGAGAAAUAUCAUGUUUAUGAAGGCCCGGACAAGAGGUAUAAAUUUGUGCUUCGGAAUGUGGAGGAGUCCGAUUCUGCUCUGUAUUACUGUGCCACCUGGGCUGGCACAAUGACUCAGCCCUGCCCUCAUCUGUACUGA